UACGAAGGGUGCAAGCGUUACUCGGAAUCACUGGGCGUAAAGCGUGCGUAGGCGGUUCGUUAAGUCUGCUGUGAAAGCCCUGGGCUCAACCUGGGAACUGCAGUGGAUACUGGCGAGCUAGAGUGUGAUAGAGGAUGGUGGAAUUCCCGGUGUAGCGGUGAAAUGCGUAGAGAUCGGGAGGAACACCAGUGGCGAGGGCGGCCAUCUGGAUCAACACUGACGCUGAGGCACGAAAGCGUGGGGAGCAAACAGG
Molecule: ribosomal RNA, 253 nt
Filed under: uncultured bacterium
Lineage: Bacteria
Description: partial 16S ribosomal RNA
Rfam family: Bacterial small subunit ribosomal RNA
Source: RNAcentral